RNAcentral lists this ribosomal RNA (509 nucleotides) under uncultured bacterium. RNAcentral describes it as "bacterial SSU rRNA". It matches the Rfam family "Bacterial small subunit ribosomal RNA", at positions 28 to 528 of the family's 1533-position model. The record is from RNAcentral.
GAUGAACGCUAGCGACAGGCUUAACACAUGCAAGUCGAGGGGCAGCAUAAAAGUAGCAAUACUUUGGUGGCGACCGGCGCACGGGUGAGUAACGCGUAUGCAACCUACCUAUCAGAGGGGGAUAACCCGGCGAAAGUCGGACUAAUACCGCAUAAAACAGGGGCACCGCAUGGUGAUAUUUGUUAAAAAUUUAUUGCUGAUAGAUGGGCAUGCGUUCCAUUAGGUAGUUGGAGAGGUAACGGCUCACCAAGCCUACGAUGGAUAGGGGAACUGAGAGGUUGGUCCCCCACACUGGUACUGAGACACGGACCAGACUCCUACGGGAGGCAGCAGUGAGGAAUAUUGGUCAAUGGGCGAGAGCCCUGAACCAGCCAAGUCGCGUGAAGGAAGAAGGAUCUAUGGUUCGUAAACUUCUUUUGCAGGGGAAUAAAGUGGAGGACGUGUCCUUUUUGUAUGUACCCUGAGAAUAAGGAUCGGCUAACUCCGUGCCAGCAGCCGCGGUAAUACGU